GCUGGCGGCAUGCCUUACACAUGCAAGUCGAACGGCAGCAUGACCUAGCUUGCUAGGUUGAUGGCGAGUGGCGAACGGGUGAGUAAUGCAUCGGAACGUGCCUUUUAGUGGGGGAUAACGUAGCGAAAGUUACGCUAAUACCGCAUAUUCUCUGAGGAGGAAAGCAGGGGACCUUCGGGCCUUGCGCUAGAAGAGCGGCCGAUGUCGGAUUAGCUAGUUGGUGAGGUAAAGGCUCACCAAGGCAACGAUCCGUAGCGGGUCUGAGAGGAUGAUCCGCCACACUGGGACUGAGACACGGCCCAGACUCCUACGGGAGGCAGCAGUGGGGAAUUUUGGACAAUGGGCGCAAGCCUGAUCCAGCCAUGCCGCGUGAGUGAAGAAGGCCUUCGGGUUGUAAAGCUCUUUCGGCUGGGAAGAAAUCGCACUCUCUAACACAGGGUGUGGAUGACGGUACCAGCAUAAGAAGCACCGGCUAACUAC
Molecule: ribosomal RNA, 480 nt
Filed under: uncultured bacterium
Lineage: Bacteria
Description: bacterial SSU rRNA
Rfam family: Bacterial small subunit ribosomal RNA
Source: RNAcentral